Molecule: ribosomal RNA, 468 nt
Filed under: uncultured bacterium
Lineage: Bacteria
Description: partial 16S ribosomal RNA
Rfam family: Bacterial small subunit ribosomal RNA
Source: RNAcentral
GACGAACGCUGGCGGCGUGCUUAACACAUGCAAGUCGAACGGAAAGGCCCUGCUUUUGUGGGGUGCUCGAGUGGCGAACGGGUGAGUAACACGUGAGUAACCUGCCCUUGACUUUGGGAUAACUUCAGGAAACUGGGGCUAAUACCGGAUAGGAGCUCCUGCAGCAUGGGGGGGGUUGGAAAGUUUCGGCGGUUGGGGAUGGACUCGCGGCCUAUCAGCUUGUUGGUGGGGUAGUGGCUUACCAAGGCUUUGACGGGUAGCCGGCCUGAGAGGGUGACCGGCCACAUUGGGACUGAGAUACGGCCCAGACUCCUACGGGAGGCAGCAGUGGGGAAUAUUGCACAAUGGGCGGAAGCCUGAUGCAGCAACGCCGCGUGCGGGAUGACGGCCUUCGGGUUGUAAACCGCUUUCGCCUGUGACGAAGCGUGAGUGACGGUAAUGGGUAAAGAAGCACCGGCUAACUACGUG